GACGAACGCUGGCGGCGUGCUUAACACAUGCAAGUCGAACGGAAAGGCCCUGCUUUUGUGGGGUGCUCGAGUGGCGAACGGGUGAGUAACACGUGAGUAACCUGCCCUUGACUUUGGGAUAACUUCAGGAAACUGGGGCUAAUACCGGAUAGGAGCUCCUGCUGCGUGGUGGGGGUUGGAAAGUUUCGGCGGUUGGGGAUGGACUCGCGGCUUAUCAGCUUGUUGGUGGGGUAGUGGCUUACCAAGGCUUUGACGGGUAGCCGGCCUGAGAGGGUGACCGGCCACAUUGGGACUGAGAUACGGCCCAGACUCCUACGGGAGGCAGCAGUGGGGAAUAUUGCACAAUGGGCGGAAGCCUGAUGCAGCAACGCCGCGUGCGGGAUGACGGCCUUCGGGUUGUAAACCGCUUUCGCCUGUGACGAAGCGUGAGUGACGGUAAUGGGUAAAGAAGCACCGGCUAACUACGUGCCAGCAGCCGCGGUGAUACGUAGGGUGCGAGCGUUGUCCGGAUUUAUUGGGCGUAAAGGGCUCGUAGGUGGUUGAUCGCGUCGGAAGUGUAAUCUUGGGGCUUAACCCUGAGCGUGCUUUCGAUACGGGUUGACUUGAGGAAGGUAGGGGAGAAUGGAAUUCCUGGUGGAGCGGUGGAAUGCGCAGAUAUCAGGAGGAACACCAGUGGCGAAGGCGGUUCUCUGGGCCUUUCCUGACGCUGAGGAGCGAAAGCGUGGGGAGCGAACAGGCUUAGAUACCCUGGUAGUCCACGCUGUAAACGGUGGGUACUAGGUGUGGGGUCCAUUCCACGGGUUCCGUGCCGUAGCUAACGCUUUAAGUACCCCGCCUGGGGAGUACGGCCGCAAGGCUAAAACUCAAAGGAAUUGACGGGGCCCCGCACAAGCGGCGGAGCAUGCGGAUUAAUUCGAUGCAACGCGUAGAGCCUUACCUGGGUUUGACAUGGAUCGGGAGUGCUCAGAGAUGGGUGUGCCUCUUUUGGGGUCGGUUCACAGGUGGUGCAUGGCUGUCGUCAGCUCGUGUCGUGAGAUGUUGGGUUAAGUCCCGCAACGAGCGCAACCCUUGUUCACUGUUGCCAGCACGUUAUGGUGGGGACUCAGUGGAGACCGCCGGGGUCAACUCGGAGGAAGGUGGGGAUGACGUCAAGUCAUCAUGCCCCUUAUGUCCAGGGCUUCACGCAUGCUACAAUGGCUGGUACAGAGAGUGGCGAGCCUGUGAGGGUGAGCGAAUCUCGGAAAGCCGGUCUCAGUUCGGAUUGGGGUCUGCAACUCGACCUCAUGAAGUCGGAGUCGCUAGUAAUCGCAGAUCAGCAACGCUGCGGUGAAUACGUUCCCGGG
RNAcentral lists this ribosomal RNA (1343 nucleotides) under uncultured bacterium. RNAcentral describes it as "16S ribosomal RNA". It matches the Rfam family "Bacterial small subunit ribosomal RNA", at positions 28 to 1378 of the family's 1533-position model. The record is from RNAcentral.